Small nucleolar RNA from Ciona intestinalis (vase tunicate), 76 nucleotides. Its record names the gene SNORD83. It matches the Rfam family "Small nucleolar RNA SNORD83". From Rfam's summary of the family: U83 (SNORD83) and U84 (SNORD84) are members of the C/D class of snoRNA which contain the C (UGAUGA) and D (CUGA) box motifs. Lineage: Eukaryota; Metazoa; Chordata; Ascidiacea; Phlebobranchia; Cionidae. The record is from Ensembl.
GCCACAUGAUGCUUUUUUAGAUAACACAGUGUUAAACAAUGAUGACCUUUUAUCUAUCACCCAUUUACUGAUGGCG